Molecule: ribosomal RNA, 541 nt
Filed under: Bifidobacterium dentium
Lineage: Bacteria; Bacillati; Actinomycetota; Actinomycetes; Bifidobacteriales; Bifidobacteriaceae
Description: bacterial SSU rRNA
Rfam family: Bacterial small subunit ribosomal RNA
Source: RNAcentral
CGGGUGGUAAUGCCGGAUGCUCCGGUUGGAUGCAUGUCCUUCCGGGAAAGAUCCGUCGGUAUGGGAUGGGGUCGCGUCCUAUCAGCUUGAUGGCGGGGUAACGGCCCACCAUGGCUUCGACGGGUAGCCGGCCUGAGAGGGCGACCGGCCACAUUGGGACUGAGAUACGGCCCAGACUCCUACGGGAGGCAGCAGUGGGGAAUAUUGCACAAUGGGCGCAAGCCUGAUGCAGCGACGCCGCGUGCGGGAUGGAGGCCUUCGGGUUGUAAACCGCUUUUGAUCGGGAGCAAGCCCUUCGGGGUGAGUGUACCCUUCGAAUAAGCGCCGGCUAACUACGUGCCAGCAGCCGCGGUAAUACGUAGGGUGCAAGCGUUAUCCGGAAUUAUUGGGCGUAAAGGGCUCGUAGGCGGUUCGUCGCGUCCGGUGUGAAAGCCCAUCGCUUAACGGUGGGUCCGCGCCGGGUACGGGCGGGCUGGAGUGCGGUAGGGGAGACUGGAAUUCCCGGUGUAACGGUGGAAUGUGUAGAUAUCGGAAAAGAACA